GAUGAACGCUGGCGGCGUGCUUAACACAUGCAAGUCGAACGGAAAGGCCCAAGCUUGCUUGGGUACUCGAGUGGCGAACGGGUGAGUAACACGUGGGUGAUCUGCCCUGCACUUCGGGAUAAGCCUGGGAAACUGGGUCUAAUACCGGAUAGGACCACAUUUUGGAUGGUGUGGUGGAAAGUUUUUCGGUGUGGGAUGAGCUCGCGGCCUAUCAGCUUGUUGGUGGGGUAAUGGCCUACCAAGGCGUCGACGGGUAGCCGGCCUGAGAGGGUGUACGGCCACAUUGGGACUGAGAUACGGCCCAGACUCCUACGGGAGGCAGCAGUGGGGAAUAUUGCACAAUGGGCGCAAGCCUGAUGCAGCGACGCCGCGGGGGGGAGGACGGCCUUCGGGUUGUAAACUCAUUUCGCUAGGGACGAAGCGUUAUGUGACGGUACCUGGAGAAGAAGCACCGGCUAACUACGUG
RNAcentral lists this ribosomal RNA (466 nucleotides) under uncultured bacterium. RNAcentral describes it as "partial 16S ribosomal RNA". It matches the Rfam family "Bacterial small subunit ribosomal RNA", at positions 28 to 507 of the family's 1533-position model. The record is from RNAcentral.